GAUGAACGCUGGCGGCGUGCCUAACACAUGCAAGUCGAGCGCACCCUUCGGGGUGAGCGGCGGACGGGUGAGUAACGCGUGGGUAACCUGCCCUAUACACACGGAUAACGUACCGAAAGGUACGCUAAUACGGGAUAAUAUUGUUGGGUGGCAUCUUCUAACAAUCAAAGCUCCGGCGGUAUAGGAUGGACCCGCGUCUGAUUAGCUAGUUGGUGAGGUAAUGGCUCACCAAGGCGACGAUCAGUAGCCGACCUGAGAGGGUGAUCGGCCACACUGGAACUGAGACACGGUCCAGACUCCUACGGGAGGCAGCAGUGGGGAAUAUUGCACAAUGGGCGAAAGCCUGAUGCAGCAACGCCGCGUGAGCGAUGAAGGUCUUCGGAUCGUAAAGCUCUGUCCUCAAGGAAGAUAAUGACGGUACUUGAGGAGGAAGCCCCGGCUAACUACGUGCCAGCAGCCGCGGUAA
Molecule: ribosomal RNA, 466 nt
Filed under: uncultured bacterium
Lineage: Bacteria
Description: partial 16S ribosomal RNA
Rfam family: Bacterial small subunit ribosomal RNA
Source: RNAcentral